Molecule: unclassified non-coding RNA, 178 nt
Filed under: Striatibotrys oleronensis
Lineage: Eukaryota; Fungi; Ascomycota; Sordariomycetes; Hypocreales; Stachybotryaceae
Description: partial internal transcribed spacer 2
Source: RNAcentral
CAACCCUCAGGGUCCUCCGCCUAGCGCGGCCGGGCCCUGGUGUUGGGGAUCGGCCCGCCCCGCGCGGUGCCGUCCCCUAAAAUCAGUGGCGGUCCCGCCGCAGCCUCCCCUGCGCAGUAGUUACCAACUCGCACUGGAGCGCGGCGCGGCCACGCCGUAAAACCCCCGACUUCUGGAA